Molecule: unclassified non-coding RNA, 412 nt
Filed under: uncultured Funneliformis
Lineage: Eukaryota; Fungi; Glomeromycota; Glomeromycetes; Glomerales; Glomeraceae
Description: sequence contains 28S rRNA gene
Source: RNAcentral
AGUAAAAUAGUACGUGAAAUUGUUGAAAGGGAAACGAUUGAAGUCAGUCGUACCGACGAGAAAUCAGCUCUUCGAGUGCGAAGUUGUGGGCGUGUGAGAGUCUUUAACCGGGCCUCGCUGUUUGCAAUUUUGUGCUUUUUGGGUGUACUUUUUCGUAUGGUAGGCCAACGUCAGUUUUGAUUACCGUAAAAUGAUCGGAGGAAUGUAGCUUCGAUCUCGUAUUGAAGUGUUAUAGCCUCUGGUAGAUGCGGUGACCGAAACUGAGGAUUGCAACGAAUACCCUUUUGGGCUAUCCGUCUGGCCUCUGAAAGUUGCUUAGGUGUCGAAAGCGUGCUUACGGCUAUUUAAGUUGACGGUCAACAGGUUAGAACGUGAUUACAUUCGUUAAGGACGUUGGCGUAAUGGCUUUAAA